This is an RNA transcript of Polypterus senegalus (gray bichir), 1043 nucleotides long. It is a transcript of the gene named perforin-1-like, with no coding region annotated. The record is from RefSeq and is a predicted model, not a curated record. The transcript has 4 exons. NCBI's taxonomy places the organism in Eukaryota, Metazoa, Chordata, Cladistia, Polypteriformes, Polypteridae.
CAGUGAUGCCAACUUCGCUGUCACUGACUGACAAACACACAAACGCCCACUUAGAAGGGCAGGCGGAGCACCUGGGGCAAUAAGUGACCACCGUCAGACAUUCUGCAUAAGGCUGAGACACAAGUGGACCAUCUUCAACGACCAGCACUGAGAAACCGCCCAGUGAGGACACUUAGCUCCGCCCCUUCUGGUUCCUCAGCUGCCCGGAAGGAGGCGUCUUUUCGCAACCAGAGCGAUCCACCCGAUGGAACUCCUACCAGCUAGACCCUGAAUCUGUGACUGAAGCUGAACCCAUUUGUUUAGAGCAGUGAUGCCAACUUCGCUGUCACUGACUGACAAACACACAAACGCCCACUGAGGAGGGCAGGCAGAGCACCUGGGGCAAUAAGUGACCACCGUCAGACAUUCUGCAUAAGGCUGAGACACAAGUGGACCGUCUUCAACGACCAGUGCCCACACAGUGUCUUCUCCUUUGUGCCCCUCGUCUAGAGCCAUGUCACCUUCACAACCCUGGAGACACUUUCUUCUCCUCCUGGUGAUCUACUAUCUGAUCCAGUUGGAUGGAUUCCUCCUGUUGGAUGGAAGCAAUAAUCUGAAGGUGGUCGUGAUGGGAGCCAGGGGGCUGCACGGCGACCCGGCGGGUGAGACGGACGCUUACGUCAAAGUAUCGUAUGGCUUCACUAUCAAAAAGACGCCUCACAUCAAGGAAAAUGACAACCCGGACUGGAACCACAGCUUCGAUUUCGGCAAAGUCGUUCCAGGCUACAAGAUGCAGUUCGAUGUCUAUGACAAGGAUGUCUUCUUCGACGACUGGCUGGGUCGCUGCGUAGUGCCGAUCAGUAAUAAUGGCACUGGGAGCUGUGAUUUGGUGAGAGGGGGCACAUUUUUCUACCGGUUCUCCGUCUCAUAACUGGCUGGCCUACAAACUCAGAAAGCCUUCCAUGGAAGACCACCCAAUGAAAUCUUUGAGAAUUUGAUGUCAUUUCUUGGAGAUUUUAGUCUCUUUAAUGGCAAAGCGUUGAAUAAAACAAAUUUAAAUAGAA